AUUGAAUUAGUUUAUAUAAAAUUCCAGGAUGUGGGCUUGGAGAAGAAGCGGGGUCUUCAUUCAAUA
This 66-nucleotide transfer RNA is filed under the name Monodonta labio. RNAcentral describes it as "tRNA-His". Lineage: Eukaryota; Metazoa; Mollusca; Gastropoda; Trochida; Trochidae. The record is from RNAcentral.